Molecule: non-coding RNA, 24 nt
Filed under: Arabidopsis thaliana (thale cress)
Lineage: Eukaryota; Viridiplantae; Streptophyta; Magnoliopsida; Brassicales; Brassicaceae
Source: RNAcentral
CAUUUCGGCACCUAAACUACAAGC